Molecule: long non-coding RNA, 2215 nt
Organism: Oryzias melastigma (Indian medaka)
Lineage: Eukaryota; Metazoa; Chordata; Actinopteri; Beloniformes; Adrianichthyidae
Exons: 4
Source: RefSeq, a predicted model, not a curated record
AUGUUUUGAGUUAUGUAGUCUCACCUGUCACUCUUGGUUUCUUAGUUACCAUGAUGCCAGGUGUAAUGUUAGAGCCAGUGUCAGGUAGACUGAUGUUCUGUCUGACUAAUGUCAGUUUGGAGGUCGGACUGAAACAACAUAAAUAUACAUUUUUAAAUCAUGUUAAAAAAGUUUCCAAAGAGGAGAAUUGAUCAGCAAUGUCAUUGAGGAGAAACGCUCGCUCUUCUUCAGCUCCAGGAAGAUUAGAAACCAAAUCUGGGUUCAGUCUCCCUUUUGGACUCAGUGAUGGACGCCAGAGGAGCAGAAACCUGUCCAGGCCGGAGGACUUGGAUGAAAAAACAGAUGAUUUCACAGCCGCUCAACAUGUGCGCUUCAAUGACGAGGAAAGGGAGCUGAAACACAACCGACGAAGACACUCCGUCACACUUGGAGAUAAAACUCAAGUCUGUAAACAACAGCAGAGCUGUUUUCAAUCAGCAAGCAAACUUGAGGUGCAAUUUUUAUAAUUAUGAAACUAUAAAAAGGACGCAACGUGCUUCAAAAUUGGGUUUAAAAAUGUAUGAUUUGAUGCUUUUACUUCUUCAGAGUUGCCACUUUUAGCCUGAAGAUGUCACCAGAGUGCUUUAUCCUACUGCUCAGCUUUAACUUCAACCACAAGUAGUAAAAAAAGAUGGGAUAUAGUGACAGACAUGCUCAUUUAAGAUAAGCUCCUGAUCAUUUAACUUACAGAGCUCCUAAAGCCCAGUAAUGCUCUGGUAAAACAAAACACAUUUCUCUGACACUCAGAAGGUCUUCAGCACUUCGGAGUCCAACCCUUUCAAGGCUGACAGGAGUGAUGGAGGGAUGCAGGAGGCUGCGUUGCAAAAGCACCAGCUCAAGUUUGGAGCUUUCAGUCGCAGAUGUGUGACACACUCUCCUGCCUAAUGCGAGGAGCAAUGUGCCAUAACAGAUUAGGGGGAGCAAGCUCAGGAGUUCAAAGUUGUGCAUCUCUAAUAAAGGGAUUUGGAAAGCAGUCAAGGAUAUGUGAGCACUUUUAGCACCCCCAUCACUCUGGAUGAUUAAACAGUUAUCUCACUAAUUCAGGGAAUACUGUGGGGAAACCUCAAUUCUAGCUAGAUCCUUGAGAAAUUAAUCUGUUUAUCCCUCUGUUUUUUUUAUUUUUUUAUUAGUAUUUGAAAGACCACCACGCAUCAAAGAAUAGUUGCUAGGAAACCAGAGAAAAUCCUAAGAAAGACAGCUGAAAGAAAAGGAAGUAGCCUCAUAUUUGACCAGUGGUUGUGAUCUGCUCAUUAUAAUGACAUUGUUGCCUUAGGAAAGAGCCUUGAUAAUGAACUGUAAAAUAUUUAUCGUUAAUGGCUCCUCUUUUCUUUUUUAGCCCUUUGACUUCAAAAACUGCUUGAUUGAUGAGAAGAUAUCAUUGGAAAGUCUGCAGAAACUCAAGUUAAUUUUUGAGGAAUAUGAAGCGAAAGGCUUAAGAUGCAUUGACGAGGGGGCUUUUGGACGUGCAGUGAAGACAUGUUUUGGUUUGUCUAACACGGUGAGACAGCAUGGCAUUUGUCUUCACUUCUUUUCCCUCUUAAUGUUCUCACUAACUGACCUUUCCUCAGCUAAAAAUAAUUCUUCAUUAAUUAGAAAAAAGUGUCAUUGUCCUCAUUUGUCUUUUGGAUUUCACAGAGCAAUGAACAGAUUCAUGGAUUAUUUAAGAAGAUUGAUUAUUUAGAUCAAGGAAAGAUUUCUUGGGUAAGGCGAUAUUCACGUAUAAGUUUCUCAUUAAGUUUACAGCCAUUCACUUGUUGAGUCAUUUGCCGCCUCAGUGGAUGUUCCCUUUAGCAGCAACCAAUAAGAAAAAGACACAAGUGUAGCUGAGUUAAGCUUUAGAGAGCAAAUGGAACCAAUAGAAAACAAUAAAUUGGGAUUUAGUUAGCUUUUGUCAAUUCUAUGUAAAAUACAGUGUCAUCGAUAUACGUGAGGUCAUUUUUUUCUUUGUUUUUUAUUCAAUUUCUGUUAAAAACAAAGAUUUUUUGCGCUUGCUCAAAGUUGUUAAGAAGUUUAAUCUCUAGUUUGAAAAUUUGAGUGAUAAUAUUGUGUUUGCAAGGAUUUCUGCAUUGUCGGCAACCUUUAACAUUAAAAGAGCCAUUUGGGCUUGUUAUCUACUGACCAAAACCUAGAGGGAGCCGCAUAGUCUUACUUUAGCUUUUAGGAAAUUUGGAUUUGC